Molecule: ribosomal RNA, 301 nt
Filed under: uncultured bacterium
Lineage: Bacteria
Description: partial 16S ribosomal RNA
Rfam family: Bacterial small subunit ribosomal RNA
Source: RNAcentral
CAGUCGCCGCUGGAAUACGGAGGGUGCAAGCGUUAUCCGGAUUUAUUGGGUUUAAAGGGUCCGUAGGCGGAUCUGUAAGUCAGUGGUGAAAUCUCACAGCUUAACUGUGAAACUGCCAUUGAUACUGCAGGUCUUGAGUAAAUUUGAAGUGGCUGGAAUAAGUAGUGUAGCGGUGAAAUGCAUAGAUAUUACUUAGAACACCAAUUGCGAAGGCAGGUCACUAAGAUUUAACUGACGCUGAUGGACGAAAGCGUGGGGAGCGAACAGGAUUAGAUACCCCUGUAGUCCCUGUCUCUUAUAC